GAUGAACGCUGGCGGCGUGCCUAAUACAUGCAAGUCGAGCGAACAGACGAGGAGCUUGCUCCUCUGACGUUAGCGGCGGACGGGUGAGUAACACGUGGAUAACCUACCUAUAAGACUGGGAUAACUUCGGGAAACCGGAGCUAAUACCGGAUAAUAUAUUGAACCGCAUGGUUCAAUAGUGAAAGACGGUUUUGCUGUCACUUAUAGAUGGAUCCGCGCCGCAUUAGCUAGUUGGUAAGGUAACGGCUUACCAAGGCAACGAUGCGUAGCCGACCUGAGAGGGUGAUCGGCCACACUGGAACUGAGACACGGUCCAGACUCCUACGGGAGGCAGCAGUAGGGAAUCUUCCGCAAUGGGCGAAAGCUUGACGGAGCAACACCGCGUGAGUGAUGAAGGUCUUCGGAUCGUAAAACUCUGUUAUUAGGGAAGAACAAAUGUGUAAGUAACUAUGCACGUCUUGACGGUACCUAAUCAGAAAGCCACGGCUAACUUCGUG
RNAcentral lists this ribosomal RNA (497 nucleotides) under uncultured bacterium. RNAcentral's name for it is "partial 16S ribosomal RNA". It matches the Rfam family "Bacterial small subunit ribosomal RNA", at positions 28 to 507 of the family's 1533-position model. The record is from RNAcentral.